GUAUAUAUGUUCAUAGCUUCGGCCACACGAAGUUCUUUAAGUCGCAGCUUAAUGAGGGAAGCGGAGCUCCGCAACCUCUCCAAGCAUUACACCAUGACCGAAAAGAAAAAGCUUAACUCACCUGUUUUCUGUCGAAGAGUGGUUCAGCAUGUCCCAGGGAGGCCCAGCUGUUCAGGCGGAGAGGAGUCAGACGAAUGACAGUGGGGACACUGAGGGGUGGAUGGUGCUGUCUUUACAGCAGACGAAAGACUUGGGAGCUGAGCUCAGUUUCACAGGGACAAUGUGAUGGUGCUGAGGUGGAGGAGCUGGUAAGAAUGGAGGCUUCACAGCUGGACAAAGAUCCAAGGCCGCUGUGUUUCACAUGAUCGAGGUUCUUACUGGCCCAGGGUGACACAGCUAGGUUUGAGAGCCGGUAGAUUCAAGACUGGAAAUUAAUACUCUUGAUCGUCCUGCUAAUGACAGAUAACUGGGGAUCUGGUUUAUUUUACUGGUUUGUGUUAUGCAGAUACUGUCAUUGGCCAGAAACUGCUGCCCCUGAGCUGCACAACAAUCCUGAAUGAAGAAACUAAAUGAAAAAUAACAGAAUAAUGGAGCAUACAAAAGAUGGUGUUUCAGUAAUAUUGAAACUAUUGCAUCAAACUGUAAAGUUGCAUUUGUUGAAUAAACAGUGACUCAGUUAACUUUUCUG
Toxotes jaculatrix (banded archerfish) is the source of this 688-nucleotide long non-coding RNA. RefSeq lists it as uncharacterized. The record is from RefSeq and is a predicted model, not a curated record. The transcript has 5 exons. Lineage: Eukaryota; Metazoa; Chordata; Actinopteri; Toxotidae.